GCAGUCGACGGAAGGCCCUUCGGGGUACUCGAGUGGCGAACGGGUGAGUAACACGUGGGUGAUCUGCCCUGCACUUUGGGAUAAGCCUGGGAAACUGGGUCUAAUACCGAAUAUGACCAUGCGCCUCCUGGUGUGUGGUGGAGAGCUUUUGCGGUGUGGGAUGGGCCCGCGGCCUAUCAGCUUGUUGGUGGGGUAAUGGCCUACCAAGGCGACGACGGGUAGCCGGCCUGAGAGGGUGACCGGCCACACUGGGACUGAGAUACGGCCCAGACUCCUACGGGAGGCAGCAGUGGGGAAUAUUGCACAAUGGGCGCAAGCCUGAUGCAGCGACGCCGCGUGAGGGAUGACGGCCUUCGGGUUGUAAACCUCUUUCAGCACAGACGAAGCGCAAGUGACGGUAUGUGCAGAAGAAGGACCGGCCAACUACGUGCCAGCAGCCGCGGUAAUACGUAGGGUCCGAGCGUUGUCCGGAAUUACUGGGCGUAAAGAGCUCGUAGGUGGUUUGUCGCGUUGUUCGUGAAAACUCACAGCUUAACUGUGGGCGUGCGGGCGAUACGGGCAGACUUGAGUACUGCAGGGGAGACUGGAAUUCCUGGUGUAGCGGUGGAAUGCGCAGAUAUCAGGAGNNNNNCCNNNNNNGNAGNNNGGUCUNNNNNNNGUAACUGAC
This 667-nucleotide ribosomal RNA is filed under the name uncultured bacterium. RNAcentral's name for it is "partial 16S ribosomal RNA". It matches the Rfam family "Bacterial small subunit ribosomal RNA", at positions 57 to 744 of the family's 1533-position model. The record is from RNAcentral.